Molecule: ribosomal RNA, 483 nt
Filed under: Theileria sinensis
Lineage: Eukaryota; Apicomplexa; Aconoidasida; Piroplasmida; Theileriidae
Description: SSU rRNA
Rfam family: Eukaryotic small subunit ribosomal RNA
Source: RNAcentral
UGGAAUGAUGGGAAUUUAAACCUCUUCCAGAGUAUCAAUUGGAGGGCAAGUCUGGUGCCAGCAGCCGCGGUAAUUCCAGCUCCAAUAGCGUAUAUUAAAAUUGUUGCAGUUAAAAAGCUCGUAGUUGAAUUUCUGCUGCAUCGUCGCAUCUCUUGCUGAGUGCUUCGUUUCGGCUUAUUUCGGAUUGAUUUUUUCUUUCCGGAUGAUUACUUUGAGAAAAUUAGAGUGCUCAAAGCAGGCUUUUGCCUUGAAUAGUUUAGCAUGGAAUAAUAAAGUAGGACUUUGGUUCUAUUUUGUUGGUUUUAGGUACCAAAGUAAUGGUUAAUAGGAACAGUUGGGGGCAUUCGUAUUUAACUGUCAGAGGUGAAAUUCUUAGAUUUGUUAAAGACGAACUACUGCGAAAGCAUUUGCCAAGGAUGUUUUCAUUAAUCAAGAACGAAAGUUAGGGGAUCGAAGACGAUCAGAUACCGUCGUAGUCCUCCC